CGCUCCGUCCUAGGGGAGUAGUCUCCCACGAGCGCCACGCUCGUCCGGCACGCAUCAACAUACUUGGUCCUCAGACCAUGGUGCGUGCGACCCCAGAUCCGCUCAGACGGAUCGGUGGUU
Molecule: non-coding RNA, 120 nt
Organism: Pseudomonas lutea
Lineage: Bacteria; Pseudomonadati; Pseudomonadota; Gammaproteobacteria; Pseudomonadales; Pseudomonadaceae
Source: Rfam